This 253-nucleotide ribosomal RNA is filed under the name uncultured bacterium. Its description in RNAcentral is "partial 16S ribosomal RNA". It matches the Rfam family "Bacterial small subunit ribosomal RNA", at positions 524 to 776 of the family's 1533-position model. The record is from RNAcentral.
UACGUAGGCAGCGAGCGUUGUUCGGAGUUACUGGGCGUAAAGAGUGCGUAGGCGGUUUUCUAAGUUUGGUGUGAAAUCUCCCGGCUCAACUGGGAGGGUGCGCCGAAGACUGGAAGGCUUGAGUAUGGGAGAGGUAAGCGGAAUUCCUGGUGUAGCGGUGAAAUGCGUAGAUAUCAGGAGGAACACCUGCGGUGUAGACGGCUUUCUGGACCAUUGUUGACGCUGAGACACGAAAGCGUGGGUAGCAAACAGG